This 445-nucleotide ribosomal RNA is filed under the name uncultured bacterium. Its description in RNAcentral is "SSU rRNA". It matches the Rfam family "Bacterial small subunit ribosomal RNA", at positions 26 to 518 of the family's 1533-position model. The record is from RNAcentral.
AGAGCGAACGCUGGCGGCAGGCCUAACACAUGCAAGUCGAGCGCCCGUAGCAAUACGGGAGCGGCAGACGGGAGAGUAACACGUGGGAACGUACCCUUCAGUUCGGAAUAACCCAGGGAAACUUGGACUAAUACCGAAUACGUCCGUAAGGAGAAAGAUUUAUCGCUGAAGGAUCGGCCCGCGUCUGAUUAGCUUGUUGGUGAGGUAACGGCUCACCAAGGCGACGAUCAGUAGCUGGUCUGAGAGGAUGAUCAGCCACAUUGGGACUGAGACACGGCCCAAACUCCUACGGGAGGCAGCAGUGGGAAUAUUGGACAAUGGGCGCAAGCCUGAUCCAGCCAUGCCGCGUGAGUGAUGAAGGCCCUAGGGUUGUAAAGCUCUUUUGUGCGGGAAGAUAAUGACGGUACCGCAAGAUAAGCCCGGCUAACUUCGUGCCAGCAGCCGC